This 467-nucleotide ribosomal RNA is filed under the name uncultured bacterium. RNAcentral describes it as "partial 16S ribosomal RNA". It matches the Rfam family "Bacterial small subunit ribosomal RNA", at positions 28 to 507 of the family's 1533-position model. The record is from RNAcentral.
GAUGAACGCUGGCGGCGUGCUUAACACAUGCAAGUCGAACGGAAAGGCCCAAGCUUGCUUGGGUACUCGAGUGGCGAACGGGUGAGUAACACGUGGGUGAUCUGCCCUGCACUUCGGGAUAAGCCUGGGAAACUGGGUCUAAUACCGGAUAGGACCACUUCUUGGAUGUUGUGGUGGAAAGUUUUUUCGGUGUGGGAUGAGCUCGCGGCCUAUCAGCUUGUUGGUGGGGUAAUGGCCUAACACGGCGUCGACGGGUAGCCGGGCUGAGAGGGUGUACGGCCACAAUGGGAAUGAGAUAAGGGCCAGACUCCUACGGGAGGCAGCAGUGGGGAAUAAUGCAAAAUGGGGGGAAGCCUGAUGCAGCGACGCCGGGGGGGGGAUGAAGGCCUUCGGGGUGUAAACUCCUUUCGCUAGGGACGAAGCGUUUUGUGACGGUACCUGGAGAAGAAGCACCGGCUAACUACGUG